CAGUAGCCGCGGGAAUACGAGGGGAGCUAGCGUUGUUCGGAAUUACUGGGCGUAAAGCGCGCGUAGGCGGCUUUUUAAGUCAGAGGUGAAAGCCCGGGGCUCAACCCCGGAAUUGCCUUUGAAACUGGAAAGCUAGAAUCUUGGAGAGGUCAGUGGAAUUCCGAGUGUAGAGGUGAAAUUCGUAGAUAUUCGGAAGAACACCAGUGGCGAAGGCGACUGACUGGACAAGUAUUGACGCUGAGGUGCGAAAGCGUGGGGAGCAAACAGGAUUAGAUACCCCCGUAGUCCCUGUCUCUUAUAC
This 301-nucleotide ribosomal RNA is filed under the name uncultured bacterium. RNAcentral describes it as "partial 16S ribosomal RNA". It matches the Rfam family "Bacterial small subunit ribosomal RNA", at positions 509 to 807 of the family's 1533-position model. The record is from RNAcentral.